AUGGAGCGGGUGUGGGACUCGGGGCGGCGGAUGAGCCGGAGCAUCAGCCGCGGCAUGGGGGCGGAGAACUGGGGCGUCGACGAGGCGUUCCUGCACGGCGGCGGCGGGAGCAGGGCCGGCGCCGACGACGACGAGGAGGCGCUGCGGUGGGCCGCCAUCGAGCGCCUGCCCACCUACAGCCGCAUGAGGACCGCCAUAUUCUCGGCCGAGGCACAGGGCAAGGGGCAGCAGCAGCAGUACAAGGAGGUGGACGUGCGGAGGCUCGACGUCAGCGACCGGCACGAGUUCAUCGAGCGCGUCUUCCGCGUCGCCGACGAGGACAACCAGCGCUUCCUCCAGAAGCUGCGCGACCGCAUCGACAGGUACGUUGCUCAGCUCAGCUCAGCGCCCGUGCAGUGCAGGCCGCGGCCCCCGGCUUCAUCCAAGUUACAACUUCUUCUUCUUCUUCUUCUUCUUCUUCUUCUUGCGAAAUACCACUUUGCAACUUCCUUUUCUACCUUUGAUUUAUUCAACUUAAACAUAGCAAUCCACUUGAGCAACCCGUUUGCAGUUACUCAUUUUUUUGCUCAUAUUCGUGUGCUAAGUACUCCUUCUUACCUCACGGUGAGGUAA
Molecule: ribosomal RNA, 612 nt
Filed under: Triticum aestivum (bread wheat)
Lineage: Eukaryota; Viridiplantae; Streptophyta; Magnoliopsida; Poales; Poaceae
Description: partial small subunit ribosomal RNA
Source: RNAcentral